RNAcentral lists this ribosomal RNA (253 nucleotides) under uncultured bacterium. Its description in RNAcentral is "partial 16S ribosomal RNA". It matches the Rfam family "Bacterial small subunit ribosomal RNA", at positions 524 to 776 of the family's 1533-position model. The record is from RNAcentral.
UACGGGGGGGGCAAGCGUUGUUCGGAAUUACUGGGCGUAAAGGGCUCGUAGGUGGCCAACUAAGUCAGACGUGAAAUCCCUCGGCUUAACCGGGGAACUGCGUCUGAUACUGGAUGGCUUGGAUCCGGAAGAGGGAUGCGGAAUUCCAGGUGUAGCGGUGAAAUGCGUAGAUAUCUGGAGGAACACCGGUGGCGAAGGCGGCAUCCUGGGCCGGUAUUGACGCUGAGGAGCGAAAGCCAGGGGAGCAAACGGG